Arachis ipaensis is the source of this 307-nucleotide non-coding RNA. The record is from RefSeq and is a predicted model, not a curated record. NCBI's taxonomy places the organism in Eukaryota, Viridiplantae, Streptophyta, Magnoliopsida, Fabales, Fabaceae.
AGGUGUUGCGUUGCUGUUCGUUGCUGUGCAGCCUCCGCCACGCCUUGUCGUCGCCAGAGUUGCCACCGCCGCGUGCCACCGCCGCUUCUCACCGCCGAGGGAAAGCCUUGCCUACGUUGCUGCCUUCCGGGUCAGAUUCACCGAUUAAUGCUACUGCCGCUAGAACAGGUUUCCUGGUCUGAUUUCUGCUUCUUGCGGCUCCACUGUUCUGUUCCUCUGUAGCUGCAGUGAGUUUUCCAUCUAAAAUCCUUAUAAUUAUUGUUGUCAUAUGCUUGUUCUGAUUCAAUUUUUGAUAUAUGUCCUUGUC